Saimiri boliviensis boliviensis (Bolivian squirrel monkey) is the source of this 6341-nucleotide non-coding RNA. Lineage: Eukaryota; Metazoa; Chordata; Mammalia; Primates; Cebidae. The record is from RefSeq and is a predicted model, not a curated record.
CUUUAAGAUAGUAAAUGGCUUUUGUUUGAGAUUGCAGAUUCCGGAGCGUGUGUGGUGCCGUCCACGGCGUGUUCUGGGCGGUGCCGUGCCCUGGGGAGGAGCUGCCGUGUGGCCUCUUCGCUGUUUCCCCAUCAUGUGAGUUGUGUUUUUGUUUUUUUUCAAAAGUCUGAGGUAAGUUCUGUGUUUUGGAACGCCAUGUUGGGUGGUUGUGAUUUGGGGAGAGCAGCACAGGUGGGAGCUGUGGGGGCGCUGACCUCCCCCCACCCCCCACCAGCUGCACGCCUGUCACUGCUCGUCUGAUGCACUUUGCUGCGAGGCUGUGUCAUCCAGGCCCAUGUCCUCCUGGCUUGCUCUCCUGCAGACCACCCUGAGAGUCUCUGCCACAGCCUCAGCCAGACGAUGGUCACGAACCUGCCCCUGCUCGGUGGUGUCGGUGGGCUCACAGGGCUCGGAGAGGUGCUUCCAAAGAGAAGAAAGAAAAGUAGCGAACCGCUCAGCAGAUGUUCACUACCCACUUUUAAUUGGCACCCCCCACCCCGUGCUGUGGGAACUAAAGGCUGGUGCUGCCCAACCUUGAGGUCAAGUUCUAACGUCAGGUCAAAUGACAGGGGGCCAGCACGGUGGCCUCUGAGGACAGGACAGCAGCCGAUGCCGCAUCUGGGACACAGGGCCUCUGCAUGCCGGCCUUUCUGGAUGACUAUGCUGGAAAGAGUGGCCCGGGGGGAAAGGGCAUUAGUGCACCUGGAUUUCCAAUUGUGAUCAGUGUGACUUCAUGCACACUUAGCCCCUGUCAUUAAUGCUGAGUUCCAGCGGGCUUGACCCCAGUAGGACACAGAGGCUGUUCUCUUCUGAAGGCAUGUGGUCCCAAUGACUCAACUGCCCAUUUUGGAGAGCAGGAAGGAGAAUUUGACAGAAUCCCAGAACUGCACCCAUAGACUGUGACUUUAACACAGAUUGGGGCAGGGAGAAGGGUGAUAUUUUAUGUGCUUAUAUUGAAGAAAUAAAGAAAAGGGAGGGGAGAUUUAUUCUUUUAGUUAUCUAAAUGUAGGUCAAAUUCCUGCAGUAACCAGCUCUUUCCUCUUGGCCAGAAUGGCCUGGGGGUUCCAGGAAAGCCCGUCAAUCUCCCCCUCCAUGAAAGAUGGCACCCACGGCUGCAAUCCUACAGCUUUUCAUAGGGCGGCCAGCCCAGCCUUGGCUUCCCCUGGCAGGAAGGCACUUGUAUGGAGAGCUUUUCCCAUGAAGGAGAGGGAGGGCGUAAUGAGGAAGGUUCAGGGGCAGUCCCUUCUCUCCACCUGCAAAUAACCACACCCAGAACCAGAGGCCAAGCUGCUGCAACUCUGGUGUUUGAUGGAAAGCAUGAGCCACGGGCAGGAAAACCUGAACACUCAAAAGGAGUGGGGGAAAUCUCCAAAUCUGACCCAGUCUUGCCUUGACACCAUCGAUUUUCCCUGUCUACUGGGUUACAUAGGAGAACUGCCGGGUAUUUACCUUUUUCUCACUGAUGAAGCUUAAGAAUUCAUUUCAUGUCAGCUGCCUUGGGAUUCUGGACAAGUAACAGCUUAUUUGGGUGACGUCCUUAAAACUCUCCUUGUCUAGUAUUGAAAUACCUGGAAGCAGUGGGCUGUCUCAGCAGCUUUAAAGUUAAAUCUUGGCUGAGAAGUGAUGAUGAUCUAACUCCAACAUUGACAGCUACCUUUCCUCUCCCUCAAGCCAGAAAUCAUGUAAAAAGAGUCCCACCGUGUGGAUGAAUGGAGAGCGUUCUCCCUCACUCCCAGGUACAGGGCUGGUGGCCACAGUUCUGCUGAACCUCUGCAUCUGGCGACUCCUUUCAGUGCCUGCCUGGGUAUUAUCAUUUACAGGACGUGUGCUCUGUAUCUUGUCUGCUUCCUAGAGCAGCUGAGCCACUUUGUGUCUAAUCACUGUCCUUUGUCAUUCUGGGAGCCCCAUAGAGGAGGGAAUGGGGUUCUGCAGGCAGAAGGGUGGGGACCACACUCAGGCCAGAAGCCCAUGCCACCACUCCAGCUCAUCCUGGGGAACCCUGCCCAGCCCCUUACCCGAGUGGCCUGGCUGGCAGCCCUGGCUGAGGGGCCCAUCACGAUAUUGACACUGCUGGAUGACUGGGUGUCACUGGUAUUGCCCCCCUCCGCAGCAGAGAGUCCAGAAAUGACGAGUGCGCUGGAAAAGCUCCUCUUGCCGAAGAGGAAGCUAAGGGUGGAGCUGGUGGAGGAGCCCAGGCUGGAUCUGAUGAGGGCCUCGGCCCGCUCGCGGACACUCAGGUGGUGGUGCAGCUCCUUAGGAAUAUGAGAAGACAGCCCGCCUCUCCAAUCCAGGAUUCGGAUUAGUUAUGAAUUCCUAACUGCUCAUCAGUCAAAUACGAAGACCCGGCAUCAGGAGUGUCCUCUCUGUAGCCAGAGAAUGGCCUCUAAUGCCCCUGCAUUGGCCAACCAGGUCUCUGGCUUCCCUUCUGGGAGCUGUGCAUCUCAACUCGGAUGGGCAUGGUUGUUUGACUUAACUGGGAGGAGGGUGAGAAGGAGGCCAGAGACUGAAAUCAAAUCCAGUUAUCCUCACAUCCCCAAAGGGAACGAUGGCCUGCUGCGAAUGACAGGUAGGUGGUUUCCCUAAAGUGUCCCUGGCAGAGGUGCCCCUCCCACAGUGGUAGCCUUCUUCUUGGGCUUGCUCUCCAGGGAACCCCAGGGGCCUCCUGCACACUGGAUCUCAGGUGCCGUGUCUUAAGGUGAAUGAAAGCUUUGUGCUCCCAGUCCCAGUCAGGGCUGGAGACCCACAUGCCCACACCAUCUGCAUCCAUGAAGGAGGUCAGAAUCAGGGGCGUGGUCGGGUGCAGGGGGCAAGCCCGUGAGUGCAGCUCCUCUCUCAUUUAUGCCACGGGCAUCUUCUAGCAUCUGCUGUUCAUCAAAUGCCAAGGGUGCCAUGGUGUGGGAGCCCUCAGGGAGUUCACACCUACCCAUACCUUCCUUUUCCAAGGCCAAGGGUUCCAACCUGAGGCCCAGGAGUGUAGGUGUGGGGCGAGUUGCUAACCACCAAGGGACACAGAGAUAGGACAGUGGCUCCUGACCUUCCACCACCCAUGAGGAGGCAGCAAGUGUCGUGAACCACAGUGGAAGCUGGCAAGUGCCCCACAGCAGCUUCCAACACAGUGGGAGUAGAACAAAGGUGACAUUUACCUUUUCCAGGGGACAAGAAGGAGAGUGUGGGGUAGGCAAGUUAUCCCUUUCCCACGCCUAUUUUGGGCCUCUCUAGGUUUCUUCCAGGAGAUCCUGCUAUGCUCAGGGUGUCUCCAGAAUUCCCUGCUGCCUGAGGCUUUCCUGGGGCCCCAGAUGCUAGUGUGAAGCAAACAUGCACAUACCUUCCCUCCUUUCGAAUUCGAGUUUGGACUCCAGCCCUGUUCCCAGUGUGCUCCCCAGAGUGGCCAUUUUGCUUGUGUUAUAGGCCUUGGGGUUCCUCAUGAGCUUUACAGGAGUUGCCCAGGAGCCCUCACUGAAGGCAGCUGCCAUGGCAGAGGCUGAGUGUAGAGAUACCUGGGCAGCUCCGGCAGGGCCGCAGGGUGGGAGGGCGGGCAGCAGGGCUGUCCCCUGACAUCCGCCCCACUGGGCCUCAUGCCCGGCACCUUCCCGUAGCUCACUGGGCCCCUCAGCGACUCCAGUCCAAAUGGUCUGGACAGGCGACUGCCCAGCAGUGCUUGUGUUCCUCAUAGGGACCGCUUGAGGAUCUCAUCUGCAUCUGAAGACAGCCUGGCUGCUCUAAGGGUGGGGAAGCUCCCUGAAGGGGACCGUGAGUGCGGUCCUCCCUUCAGGCUGUCAGCUAUCUUUAGGGCCCCCCUUUUCAGAGCCGUAUCACCAAGCAUUACCAGGAGCCUUCAGUCUUGGGUCUCCUGGAGAAGCCUUCCGAAUGGUUGAGUCACAUCCUGUAGGGAUCUGGCAGGGGGAUUGGGGCACCAAGGACAUAAUGCACAUUUCAGGAGAGCCAACAGGAUCAGCAGCUCUUGGCUCCACUGCUCUUGGAUGUGAUAGAACCUGGCUACAGCUGGAAGUCUGAGACCCGAGAGCCUUGCAAUCUCACCCUCUAGGGAAGUUGUAGUGUAAGUGGCUGAGGCCAGGAGGGGUAACCAUCCACUCAUUUCCUCAACCCUUGUCUGCUGAGCUUACCUAAGCAGCCACCCAGCCCAGUACCUUAGAGGUCUCUCUUGGUGCCCCCUGCAGCCAUCUCUGUCCCCACAGGGCCAGGAAGCUGUGGUGACAGGAGCAUGUCAGCCAGGUCCCACACACUGCUGCCUGGCCAUAUGCUGGGGCCAGAAUUCCCUCCAGAAUCUGGGGCCUGCACAGGCCUUUUCCCCAGGGUCCACUUCCAGGGUGAACCUUGGGCCUGCUUGCAGGCGUGUGCACCCCAGAGCGGCAUGUGAAUGAGGUGGCUCCUGUGCACGCCAGCAGCCCCUCACCUGGCAGGAUGUAGGAAGAGCGGGAAGAGGGUGGUGUGGUCUUCAUGUGUGCUCCUGUUGCAGGCUCUGCAGAAGUCAGGGCUCCCCAGCUGAGCAUCCACUGUGGGCUGCACCGUCCCAGGUGCCAGGCAGUGAGCAGCUCAUGGGGAAUUCUGAGCACAUACAAGGGAUGUGCUCAGGCAGUAAUUGGAGGGAGGAGAAAGUGGGGCAGGAGGAGGGGAGGGCCAUGCGGAAGGCUGGCCGGGGUCUCUUGGAUAAGCUGGGAUUUGAUGGGAGACUGCGUGGGUGAGCGAAGGAGCUGCAAGCCUGGGACAGGCACAUCUGACACAGAGGAAGCAGCAGCUGCAGGGCCCUGAGCGGGAGAACGCUGGUCACUUGGGAGGGCGAGCAGGGGCUGUGUGCUGGGGAUGCAGGCCCACAGCAGGGGGUUGAGAGGAGGCAUCAGAGAGACAGCAGGUAGGAUAGGGCCCAGCCUGCAGGGGAAGGGUGUGUGCGGGGCGCCUGUGGGUUUUCCGGGCUGAAUCGUGUUCCCUCCCAAGGUUCCACUGUUGAAGCCCUAUCCUCUAGGACCUCAGGGUGGGGCCUUACUUGGACUCAGGUUGUUGUAAAUGUCAUUAGUGAAGAUGAGGUCAUACUGGAGUAGGAUGGGCCCUGAGUCUAAGAUGACCAGCGUCCUUAUGAAAAGGGGAUGUGUGGACGCAGACAAGCACCUAGGGAGAACAUGACGUGAAGAUGAAGCCGGAGCUCAGGGGUGCUUCUCCAGGCUGGGGGUGCCGAAGAUGGCCGGUAAACCACUGCAAGCUAGGGAAGGGUCCUGGAGCCUGUUCCCCUCCAGCCCUCAGGAGGAGCCAAGCCUGCCCACACCUGCAUCUCAGACUUCCAGCUUCCAGAACUGGCAGACAGUAGGUUCCUGCUGUUGAAGCCACCUGAGCCAUGAGCCACGGCACUUUGUUACGGCAGCCUCAGCAGACUAACAGGUAUAUUCUGAGCUGAAGCCAUCAUUCAACAGAAGAACAGUGUGAACUGGUUUAAGUUUAAAUACAAUCGCUGUGAUGUGCUUUGUGGAGAUUUGUGAGUUGUCAGAGCUGCAUAAAAGACCAGAGAAAAAGAUAGCAAGAGAGAUGGAUACCGAGAGAGGGUUUUUUCUUCUUCGAAGUUGGAAGAGGGUGGCAGGCCUUGUUCCAUCUCCCCUGUCCCACUCCAACUCCAGUGUGGCUAAAAGGGGCCAAGGUACAGCUUGGGCCAUUGCUUCAGACGGUGCAAGCUCCAAGCCUUUGCUGCUUCCAUGUGGUGUUGGCCCUGAGGGUGCGCAGAAGAGUGGAACUUUAGGAACUUCUGCUUAGAUUUCAGAGGAUGUAUGGAAAUGCCUGAUGUCCAGGCAAAAGUCUGCUUCGGGGCAGAGCUCUCAUGGAGAACCUCUGCUAGGGGUAGUGUGGAAGGGAAAGGUGGGGUUGGAGCCCCCAGAGUCUCAAUGGGGUACUGCCCAGUGGAGCUGUGAGAAGAGGGCCACCAUCUUCCAGACCCCAGAAAGGUAGAUACACCAACAGCUUGCACUGUGCUCCUGGAAAAGCCGCAAACACUCAAUCCCAUGCCGUGAAAGCAGCCACAGGGACUGUACCCUGCAGAGUCACAGAUACAGAGCUGCCCAAGGCAUUGGAAGCCCACCUCUUGCAUCAGUGUGACCUGGAUGGGAGACAUGGCAUCAAAGGAGAUUUUGGAGCUUUGAGAUCUAAUGACUGCCCAGCUGGAUUUUGGACUUGCAUGGGGCCUGUGGCCUCUUUGUUUUGACCAAUUCCUUCCAGUUGGAAUGGGAACAUUUACCCAUUGCUUGUACCCCUAUUGUAUCUUUGAAGUAACUAACUUGUUUUUGAUUUUAUAGGCUCGUAGG